RNAcentral lists this ribosomal RNA (373 nucleotides) under uncultured eukaryote. Its description in RNAcentral is "partial 18S ribosomal RNA". It matches the Rfam family "Eukaryotic small subunit ribosomal RNA", at positions 592 to 976 of the family's 1831-position model. The record is from RNAcentral.
CAAUAGCGUAUAUUAAAGUUGUUGCAGUUAAAAAGCUCGUAGUUGAAUUUUUGCUUGCCGCCGAUGUCGGAACUUCCGUACGUUCGGCGGCGUACAUCCUUGGGUGGAACCUGUGUGGCAUUAGGUUGUCGUGCAGGGGAUGCUCAUCGUUUACUGUGAAAAAAUUAGAGUGUUCAAAGCAGGCUUACGCCGUUGAAUAUAUUAGCAUGGAAUAAUAAGAUAGGACCUUGGUACUAUUUUGUUGGUUUGCGCACCGAGGUAAUGAUUAACAGGGACAGUUGGGGGUAUUCGUAUUCCAUUGUCAGAGGUGAAAUUCUUGGAUUUCUGGAAGACGAACUACUGCGAAAGCAUUUACCAAGGAUGUUUUCAUUAA